RNAcentral lists this long non-coding RNA (382 nucleotides) under Pongo abelii (Sumatran orangutan). RNAcentral describes it as "lincRNA". Lineage: Eukaryota; Metazoa; Chordata; Mammalia; Primates; Hominidae. The record is from RNAcentral.
AUGCAGAUAGGAGCGAAAGAGCUGAAAGGACUUUUAAAGGCCGCGGAUUCCAACCUCUACCAUACAGAGGCCUUAAGUGUUUCGGUGAGGCGCCCAAGGAUUCACAGGAAAGGGGCAAAAUCAGAACCCCGCUCUCCUGACUCUGCCCACUCCCCGGUGGCUAGGGUGGGCCUGCCUCCUCCUUACCCAGCUCCUUCCCUCUCCUCGGCGCCUGUGGCACUGAUUAGAACAGCUCCCCACAAAGACACCCAUUUAAAAAACAAACAAAACCCAAGUGUGUUAAUACCUAUAGUACUUCAUAUAGAAUGUACUCUUAAGACUUCAUAUUUAUUGCUCCAAGUGGACACCACUGGAUGCCAAUAAAGACUCAUUUUUCCCCCUA